Molecule: long non-coding RNA, 973 nt
Organism: Oncorhynchus kisutch (coho salmon)
Lineage: Eukaryota; Metazoa; Chordata; Actinopteri; Salmoniformes; Salmonidae
Exons: 3
Source: RefSeq, a predicted model, not a curated record
CGGUUCUCUCAACUGUUUCUUUCUUCUCCUGAGAUUGAGACCUCUCAUUGUUCGGAUUUGAAAAUCCAACUAUUGUAAUAGAACAGGCAGCGCUCGGGGGCUGUGUGUGGCUGUGCGUGUGGGUGGCGGAGUGAGAAAGACACAGAGGAGCGCUAACCAGUAAAAGCACAGCCCCCUUCAUUGUCGACACACUGUGCCAACAAGAUCAAAGAGCCAUUCCAGAUGGAGGUCAAGAGGACUUCGAAACUUAGGUGCUAGCCAAACUAGUGAUUAACUGCAAUGGAAAAGUAAUUGUUUGUCUGCUUUACGACAGAUUGCUCAGGACUUCUCAAUUUUUAACCCAGCGAAACUCGCUGAGAACUGGAUUGCGGUCUUCGUGUACAAAAUACUUUGCUUCGCCAGCCGAGAGAAGCAGGUCCAAGAUCUUUUCUUCGAAGAGCAGGAAAGGUAACAUCGCCUUAAGACUUCUGUCAAUGGCAGGAAGACAUUCUUACCCGGCUUCGAAGAGACCAGAAAGUCCUUCAUCAACUUGUUGGGACCAACAUGGUUGAGUACCUGCACCAGGCAAAGGUGACCAGACCCUACCUAUUUGUGUUGGCUCUUGGGGACAAUUGUCUCUGCUCACAGGUGUUUACAGUCAUUAGCGGACAGGCAUUGGAGCAAGGUACACUUUUUGGUGCACUGGAUCAGUGCUUGAAGUUCUAUUAUGUGUUUGAUAUCAACUUUCCCAGACUGUGUGCCCCAGCAUGGGAAUUCCUACAUGCCACGGUGUAUCAGCUGCCAGGCUGUUGUGAGAAUACAUUUUUUUCCACUGAACAAGAAUGUAUAAGUACCUGCUCUUGUAUGUAGUGGGAGAAGUGACAGGAUAAUUGUUUGUGUUCCUGUGAGUUUGUCACAUCCUGACCAUAGUUUGCUUUGUAUAUUUCUAUGUUUUGUUUGGUCAGGCUGUGAUCUGAGUGGGCAUUCUAUGUUG